CGCGGUAAUUCCAGCUCCAGUAGUCUGCGUUAAAGUUGUUGCGUUUAAAACGCUCGUAGUUGGAUAACGCAGUCGCAAAGGGUAAUCUGUAAGCUUGCUAAGUAGCUGUCGGUGGAAACUUGCGCUGCAGUUGUUUCACUCUUCAAUGAGCGAAAUAGCUGGGUGUAGGUACUGCUGGCAGUGGGUAGGCUGCAGAUAUUAACGCCUUGUUGUGACUAUUUGCGCGUGAGUGUGAUGGUUGACCUUAAGUGUGUUGAGUAUCAUGUCUCACGGAGUGUGCCUUGAAUAAAUCAGAGUGCUCAAAACAAGCAAUUGCUUGAAUGUGAUAGCAUGGAACGAACAAACGUGUGUAAGUGCGUACAUUGUUGUUGGAGUGGGUUUAUGACUUGUUCUGCGACGUGUACGUGCAGCACCUACCUUAAUACGGAUGUUGGUUUCUGUAUACGGUGACGAUUAAAAGGAGCGGUUGGGGGCAUUGGUAUUUGGCCGCGAGAGGUGAAAUUCUUAGACCGGCCAAGGACUAACAAAUGCGAAGGCACUUGUCUAGACCGUUUCCAUUAAUCAAGAACGAAAGUGGGAGGUUCGAAAACGAUUAGAUACCGUUCUAGUUCCCACCGUAAACUAUGCCGACCUGGGAUCAGCCUGUGAGAUAUUACAAGCUAAAGGUUGGUCCCCCUGGGAAACCUAAAGUUUUUCGGUUACGGGGAGAGUAUGGUCGCAAGGCUGAAACUUAAAGGAAUUGACGGAAGGGCACCACCAGGGGUGGAGCCUGCGGCUUAAUUUGACUCAACACGGGAAAACUUACCUGGU
RNAcentral lists this ribosomal RNA (810 nucleotides) under Triactinomyxon sp. 'Caidian'. Its description in RNAcentral is "bacterial SSU rRNA". It matches the Rfam family "Eukaryotic small subunit ribosomal RNA", at positions 575 to 1223 of the family's 1831-position model. The record is from RNAcentral. Lineage: Eukaryota; Metazoa; Cnidaria; Myxozoa.